CCUACGGGGGGCAGCAGUGGGGAAUAUUGCACAAUGGGGGAAACCCUGAUGCAGCGACGCCGCGUGAGUGAAGAAGUAAUUCGUUAUGUAAAGCUCUAUCAGCAGGGAAGAAAAUGACGGUACCUGAGUAAGAAGCCCCGGCUAACUACGUGCCAGCAGCCGCGGUAAUACGUAGGGGGCAAGCGUUAUCCGGAUUUACUGGGUGGAAAGGGAGCGUAGACGGCAGUGCAAGUCUGGAGUGAAAGGCGGGGGCUCAACCCCCGGACUGCUCUGGAAACUGUACGGCUGGAGUGCAGGAGAGGUAAGUGGAAUUCCAGGUGUAGCGGUGAAAUGCGUAGAUAUUAGGAGGAACACCAGUGGCGAAGGCGGCUUACUGGACUGUAACUGACGUUGAGGCUCGAAAGCGUGGGGAGCAAACAGGAUUAGAUACCCUAGUAGUC
RNAcentral lists this ribosomal RNA (440 nucleotides) under uncultured bacterium. Its description in RNAcentral is "partial 16S ribosomal RNA". It matches the Rfam family "Bacterial small subunit ribosomal RNA", at positions 338 to 795 of the family's 1533-position model. The record is from RNAcentral.